GAUGAACGCUAGCUACAGGCUUAACACAUGUAAGUCGAGGGGAAACGACAUCGAAAGCUUGCUUUUGAUGGGCGUCGACCGGCGCACGGGUGAGUAACGCGUAUCCAACCUGCCCAUCACUUGGGAAUAACCUUGCGAAAGUAAGACUAAUACCCAAUGACAUCCCACGAAGACAUCUGAAUGGGAUUAAAGAUUUAUCGGUGAUGGAUGGGGAUGCGUCUGAUUAGCUUGUUGGCGGGGUAACGGCCCACCAAGGCAACGAUCAGUAGGGGUUCUGAGAGGAAGGUCCCCCACAUUGGAACUGAGACACGGUCCAAACUCCUACGGGAGGCAGCAGUGAGGAAUAUUGGUCAAUGGGCGAGAGCCUGAACCAGCCAAGUAGCGUGCAGGAUGACGGCCCUAUGGGUUGUAAACUGCUUUUAUAAGGGAAUAAAGUGGGUCUCGUGAGACUUUUUGCAUGUACCUUAUGAAUAAGGACCGGCUAAUUCCGUG
RNAcentral lists this ribosomal RNA (492 nucleotides) under uncultured bacterium. RNAcentral describes it as "partial 16S ribosomal RNA". It matches the Rfam family "Bacterial small subunit ribosomal RNA", at positions 28 to 507 of the family's 1533-position model. The record is from RNAcentral.